This 72-nucleotide transfer RNA is filed under the name Dipodomys ordii (Ord's kangaroo rat). It matches the Rfam family "tRNA". Rfam says of the family: Transfer RNA (tRNA) molecules are approximately 80 nucleotides in length. Their secondary structure includes four short double-helical elements and three loops (D, anti-codon, and T loops). The record is from Rfam by way of RNAcentral. Lineage: Eukaryota; Metazoa; Chordata; Mammalia; Rodentia; Heteromyidae.
GGGGAAGUGGCUCAGUGGUAGAGCGCUUGCCUUGAAUGCAUGAGGUCCUGGGUUCGAUUCCUCAGUACCACA